This 73-nucleotide transfer RNA is filed under the name Pipistrellus coromandra (Indian pipistrelle). Its description in RNAcentral is "tRNA-Phe". It matches the Rfam family "tRNA". From Rfam's summary of the family: Transfer RNA (tRNA) molecules are approximately 80 nucleotides in length. Their secondary structure includes four short double-helical elements and three loops (D, anti-codon, and T loops). The record is from RNAcentral. Lineage: Eukaryota; Metazoa; Chordata; Mammalia; Chiroptera; Vespertilionidae.
GUUAAUGUAGCUUAAUAUAUAAAGCAAAGCACUGAAAAUGCUUAGAUGAGUACAUAUAAAUACUCCAUAAACA